UACGUAGGGCGCAAGCGUUGUCCGGAAUUAUUGGGCGUAAAGAGCUCGUAGGCGGCUUGUUGCGUCUGCUGUGAAAUCCCGGGGCUUAACCCCGGGCGUGCAGUGGAUACGGGCAGGCUGGAGGCAGGCAGGGGAGAAUGGAAUUCCCGGUGUAGCGGUGAAAUGCGCAGAUAUCGGGAGGAACACCGGUGGCGAAGGCGGUUCUCUGGGCCUGUUCUGACGCUGAGGAGCGAAAGCGUGGGGAGCGAACAGG
RNAcentral lists this ribosomal RNA (253 nucleotides) under uncultured bacterium. Its description in RNAcentral is "partial 16S ribosomal RNA". It matches the Rfam family "Bacterial small subunit ribosomal RNA", at positions 524 to 776 of the family's 1533-position model. The record is from RNAcentral.